UACGAAGGGGGCUAGCGUUGUUCGGAAUUACUGGGCGUAAAGGGCGCGUAGGCGGUGUGUCAAGUCAGGCGUGAAAGCCCCGGGCUCAACCUGGGAACCGCGCUUGAGACUGGCACGCUCGAGUCCGGGAGAGGAUGGUGGAAUUCCCAGUGUAGAGGUGAAAUUCGUAGAUAUUGGGAAGAACACCGAUGGCGAAGGCAGCCAUCUGGACCGGCACUGACGCUGAGGCGCGAAAGCCAGGGGAGCAAACGGG
Molecule: ribosomal RNA, 253 nt
Filed under: uncultured bacterium
Lineage: Bacteria
Description: partial 16S ribosomal RNA
Rfam family: Bacterial small subunit ribosomal RNA
Source: RNAcentral